This 419-nucleotide ribosomal RNA is filed under the name uncultured Sphingobacterium sp. RNAcentral describes it as "bacterial SSU rRNA". It matches the Rfam family "Bacterial small subunit ribosomal RNA", at positions 9 to 419 of the family's 1533-position model. The record is from RNAcentral. Lineage: Bacteria; Pseudomonadati; Bacteroidota; Sphingobacteriia; Sphingobacteriales; Sphingobacteriaceae.
GAGUUUGAUCAUGGCUCAGGAUGAACGCUAGCGGCAGGCCUAAUACAUGCAAGUCGAACGGCAGCACGGUGUAGCAAUACAUUGGUGGCGAGUGGCGCACGGGUGCAUAACACGUAUGUAAUUUGCCCAUAACUGGGAGAUAGCCUUCCGAAAGGAAGAUUAAUACCCCAUAACCCAGCGAGGUGGCAUCACUUUUCUGGUAAAGCUCCGGCGGUUAUGGAUAAGCAUGCGUCCGAUUAGCUAGUUGGCGAGGUAAAAGCUCACCAAGGCAACGAUCGGUAGGGGGUCUGAGAGGAUGAUCCCCCACACGGGUACUGAGACACGGACCCGACUCCUACGGGAGGCAGCAGUAAGGAAUAAUUGGACAAUGGAGGCAAACUCUGAUCCAGCCAAUGCCGCGUGAAAGGAUGAAAGGCGCU